AAAGUGAAAACUUUCUUCUUAAGCCAAACUGCACGAGAAUGCUACUCACAGGAAGAAGGUUGCAUGGAAUCAUUAUGCUGGGGGCAGCAUUAGAUUUGCCUGGCUCAUACAUUUCAGUCAACCAGUUCUGAAUGCAUGAAUGCAGAAGUUGGUUAUAUCUACUGAAGAGGAACUCUGUUUUUCAGCUACAAGCAGGCGUCUCUUAUUGCAAGUUUAUGUCUAUUUUUGAGUAUGUGCCUAAUUAUACGAGACCCAGCGUGGAGUAGUGGUUUGACUACAACCCUGGAGACCAGGAUUCGAUUCCUUGCUCAAACAUGGAGACCCACUGGGUGACCUUGGCCAAGUCAUACUAUCAUCUCUGGGUCUAACUCUGGCAUGCUUUUAGAAGUUAAAGACAUGCUUUUAGACGUUUCCUUCUGGAAGAACAGAAGUGCUACGACAGCACACAGAAAGGGUUUUAAAAGAAAAUUGGUGCUGGGAAGGAAAAGCUCAAAGACAUUCUAAUAACAACUUCAAGCUAAUAAAGAAAACAUGGUUUAAGCCUUGAGAGAGUGUCUCUUCCAGCCUUCCCCCAAUCAGAUGGAUUGUACUACAAAUGCCAUUAUCCCCUUGAGAUGAUGGUAGUCCAGCACAUAUGAAGGAUGCUGGGCUGGGAAAUCCUGCUACAGUUCGGGCAUCUUCCCAGGCUCCUUGCCUUUGCUUGAAACAGUCAAUACUAAUUAUUGUACACAUCUCUUCUAAGGGAAACAAUAGAGCCCUCGCUUCUUUUUCUAUGGUUCGUCCCUGCCCUCGCCUUACCUCCACUUCUGAAUUCAUUCCUGUGCAAGUGGGAAUUCCUUCCCCUGAAUUAGCUGAAUAUCCUUUUGUUGAUUGACUGCCAUAGAAACCAGAGUGAACAUUGUAAAAAAUCCACUUGAAGUACAUUUGAUUACACCAAGAGUUCUGGCCAGAAUAUUGUCAGGAUCAUUUAGAAGAACCAGAGCAAAGUUAUUCCCUUCCUUUCCCCACCCCUGCCUUUGGGAAUUGCUGCUCACUGUAAAUGCUCCACAGAACAGACUGCAGACCCACUCAGACUUCUCUGUUUAUCUGACUUACUCGCUCUCCAAUUGCUCACUGGUCCAGUCACUUGGAAAGCUGUAUGGGGCUCUCCCAUAGGGAAUUGUAAAGCGGUGUCAUUUCGGUCUCCUCUGCCUUUCCCAGCCUUGGGUUUGUUUGUUUUUGUUUUCUUUGCCACAACAUCUGGCCUACUUCAGGGAGAGAUUUCACAAUUUGGAACCUGCAGCAAUUAACUGACACAGGAUCAACAAGCUCCAGAAUAUCAUUUUGUGCUCUUUUUUUUACUUCUCUUGCAAAGGACACUGGGUCACUGCUUGUUUCCUAGGGUGCACAACCAUCUAUAUUUAUUUUAUUGUUUAUAGAGGCCCCUGUCAGUAUUUGCAAACACACUAUCCUCUCUCCUGUGCUGACCACUGGCUGAGCAUCUCUGGGACUUGUGAUUUUAAAAAGCAACUUGCACAAUAUUUGCCUAUUUCCACGUGUGGCAAGUUUUCUUGUUCUAAAUUAGAAUUUCCCAUGGAUAAAUUGAUUUCAGCUGAAGGGACCAUCAAGCAUUGCAGCAGAUGUUUUAGCACCAAAUUCAGAUGAUCUAAACUCUGAUGUGGCUCUCCCAGCAACCAGUGUCUGCAAUGUAUUUCCCUUCUGGGAAGAAGAUUGUGUCAGCCUCAGCAUUCCAGCAUUCCCUCUGCCAAGCAUUAGACAUUUUCUUUCUCCCUCCUCUCCUAUGGAAAAAAUUACAGAUUUAGAUUUUUAUAGGUGUCAAAGAAUAAACUACUGGUAUGGAGGGAUACUGGGCCUUGUGAAUAAUUUGCAUCUUGGCAAACAUUCUGCCUCAGGAAGUGCUUAAAUCCAUCUUUAUUUCGAAGGGCAUGUAGAAACAAGGCAAAAGACAUUUGAAAAAGAUUUCUGUAAUACUUUCCUUCAACUGUCAUUAAUUUUUGUCAAUUUGUGCUUUCUAUAGCCCUGUUAGAAAUGAACAAAUAAACAGCUAGU
This is a long non-coding RNA of Sceloporus undulatus (fence lizard), 2049 nucleotides long. RefSeq lists it as uncharacterized. The record is from RefSeq and is a predicted model, not a curated record. Lineage: Eukaryota; Metazoa; Chordata; Lepidosauria; Squamata; Phrynosomatidae. The transcript is spliced from 5 exons.